Molecule: non-coding RNA, 117 nt
Organism: Microcebus murinus (gray mouse lemur)
Lineage: Eukaryota; Metazoa; Chordata; Mammalia; Primates; Cheirogaleidae
Source: RefSeq, a predicted model, not a curated record
CUGGGCGGGAAGGGGGUUACCUGGCGCACGUGGAUAUUUAGGUUGUUUCCAUAUGUUGGAUAUUGCGAAUAAUGCUUCAGCGGACAUGGCAAUACAGUCUCACUCUGUCACUGGCUA